AUCCCGUCCACCGAUUGACUAAGGUUUCCAGAGGAAGGCUCGUCCGCUCUGGGUUAGUCGGGUCCUAAGCUGAGGCCGACAGGCGUAGGCAAUGGAUAACAGGUUGAUAUUCCUGUACCACCUAUAAUCGUUUUAAUCGAUGGGGGGGACGCAGUAGGAUAGGCGAAGCGUGCGAUUGGAUUGCACGUCUAAGCAGUAAGGCUGAGUAUUAGGCAAAUCCGGUACUCGUUAA
This 232-nucleotide ribosomal RNA is filed under the name Staphylococcus aureus. RNAcentral describes it as "partial 23S ribosomal RNA". It matches the Rfam family "Bacterial large subunit ribosomal RNA", at positions 1327 to 1555 of the family's 2925-position model. Lineage: Bacteria; Bacillati; Bacillota; Bacilli; Caryophanales; Staphylococcaceae. The record is from RNAcentral.